UUAUAAAUCAUGUCUUUUGUUGCUUUUGUAAAACUCUGGUGCUUCCUGACCCCUGAUUCUGUUUGUUUAUUUAUUUAUUUAUUUUGCCCAUUUCAGUUUUAGGUAGGAAAGAGUAAUUCCACUUUAAAAAAAAAAAAAUUCUUUUCAGAAGUUGUGGCUCUAAUCAUGUUCCCUUAAACUUCACUCCUGAGCCCUGACACAUCUCUUGGUUCUGAGGAAACCUCUGUGAACUGCAAGACACUCAAAACAGAUUCUGUAUUGUUGUUGAAAAUUAUUUAAAUAGAAGUAGUAUUUUACGAAGCAUCAGAACUCCGAGCACCAGAACCCAGAUGUACACUUUCAUGUGACUGGUUGAUGUCAAGUUGAACAGAGACAAACUCCAUAGCUCUAAAAAUCAGUGUAGUGUUUUCUGUAAUAAUACAUGUGGGUUAAUGAUCCUAUUAGAACUUGGGAGAUGAGUCCUAGUCCUAGUCUAGAUGAGUCCUGGAUGAGAUCACAACCAGCCAGCUAAACGGCCUCUUUGAGCAUCAGUUUCCUUACCUAAAAAACUGGAUUCAGGAGUUUUUGUUGUAGCUCAGUGGAAACCAACCCGACUAGUAUCCCUGAAGGGUUCAAUCCCUGGCCUUGCUCAGUGGGUUAAGGAUUCGGCCUUGCUGUGAGCUGUGGUUUAGGUCACAGACGUGUCUUGGAUCCUGUGUUGCUGUGGCUGUGGCAUAGGGCUUCACUAUUCUGUCUGAUAGAGCUUCUCAGAGUUGGUAUUGCGGUCAAAUUGCUGUAGCUCCAUUUUGACCCCUAGCCUGGGAACUUCCAUAUGGUGCGGGGGUGGGCCUAAAAAGCAAAAAAAAAAAAAAAAAAAGAAGAAGAAGAAAAGAAAGGCCUCAAUUGGUGAUUGUUUUCAAACCUUAGAGUUGGUUCUAACAAAACAACUGAGUUUUUGAGUGAAAAAUAGAAGAUAAAACAAGACACUUCUAGACCCCCUGGAGGUGGUCCAGAGGCCCGUCCUCUUGACUUCCGCCAGCCUUCCAUUCCUCUGGGCUUCUGAGGUGGCUAUAAGGUGCCCUCACGUUACCCGUGUCAUGAUGUGAUAACUGGCAUAUGGACAGACCAAGUUCCUCUCCAGCUCUGAAAUUGUGUCCUCCCCCAUGUUAAAAUAUGGAUCAUGCCAGGAUUAGGUUGGGUAGGUUAGGUUAGCAGAGUGGCAUGUCUCUGGGGAGGCCUGAGCAUUUGGGGGUGUCAGAGGGCAGAGAAGUGGUGCCUCAGUCUGCCUUUACUAUAUCAGGACUUGGAGGCUUUUUUUUGUAUGGAUAAUGUGGAUGAUUCCUCUGUGCAGAUCAUCCCACGUUACCUCUUUUAUUUAUUUAUUUAUUUUGGCCAUCCCACAGCACAUGGAAUUCCUGGGCCAGGGAUCAGAUCUUAACCAUGGCUGCGAUCUAAGGAUCUGGCUGCGGCAGUGCCAGAUCCUUAACCCACUGGGUGGGGCUGGGGAUUGAACCUGUGUCCCACCACUCCCAAGAUGCCACCAAUCUUGUCGCACCACAGCAGGAACUCCCCACGUUACCUCCUUUAAUUCUUACCACCAACCUCAUCUUGAACCGCUAACCCGAACCUACGCCAGACAUGAGUCCAGCUCGGUGGAACCACAGGGCCCUUGCUAUUCCGUCUGAUAGAGCUUCUCAGAGUUGGCCCUGUCUCCUCCUUUAGGUUCCAGCAUGUAUGUCCCCUUCUAAGAGAAGACUUCUUUGCCUCUCCUCACUAACGAUAUCCUGGACAGCCUAUCUCAUUUAACUCACAGCAUUUAUUACUAGCUCGGUAAGUAUUUAGGCAUUUGUUAGUUCAUUAUAUUUAUGUCUCCUUGGACCUUUUCUCUUCCUCUCAAACACAUGGAAAUAUGAACUCCAUGAGACUGGAGACCUCAUCUGUGUUGUUCACCCCCACAUCCGCAACACCUAGGCAAGUGCCUGGCCCACAGUAGAUGUCUUUUAAGUAUCUGCUGAAUGAAUCAAUAAACAGGAGAGAGGUAGUUAUAACAGUCUCUCUUUUACGGAUGAAGAAACUCAGGCUUAGAGAGGCUGAGUGACCAACUCUAUGUCUCAUAACUAGGAAACUACAGCAUUGGGAUUCAGACUCAAGUUUGACUUAAGAACAAUUCUCAUCUAUUUCUGGGCCUCUCUUGGAAGAACCAUGUCAACUGUAAUCAAUGCUCAUCUCCACCUGAUAGAAUAAGGUAAUGAUCACACUGCCAAUGAAAACUGUGACACCAGUAACACCAUCAUUGUUGGGUACCUCUAGGUUUUUUAAGUUCUGUCUUGUAUCUUGAACCAAAAUCUACCUUCAUGCAACUUCUACUCAUUAAUUCUCAUUUGUCCCUGUGUAGCAAAAAACAGAAUGACUCUUUCUAGUUGCCAGGUUCGAGAGGAAAUGGGUAGCAGCAGGGCGGACUCUGUCUGGAUUUCCUUAAUUUCUUGCCAGUAGGCAAGCACCUGGUACGGCCAGCACUCCCAAGGGGGCAAUUUACAAGGCUGUUUACCUGCCGUGGGUGCUUUAGUGAGGGGUAUUAUGGUUGUUUCAUCUUAAUUAAUGGUGAUACUCUUAUCCUCCGCCAGUAGAUCAGUAUAUUCUUACUAAGGAAAUUGGUCCUGACCACUGGUUUUGAGUGAUUAGUUUCAUCUCUGCAAACUGCCUUCCUAUGAAAGAGGUCUUCACACUAUGUUCGUUUUCCUCUCCAACUUGAAUGUGGUUAAGAUUGAUGAGGAGUUGGGCGGUAAACCCUCCGAACUCUUUGAAACCAGUGCCCAAUACAAACCUGUUUAAUUCUGUUCGUUUGUGGUCUCUGGCUUCAGCAUUUGGCCUUCAAGAGCAUUUUGGUCCAAGCUACCCUGUGGUCUCUGUGGUCUCCACUGGUGGCAACUGGUUCUGUGGAUAUUACCUAUGUUUGAAUCUUGUAUGGCUUGUAGCUUUCAUCUAGAUCCAGUUUCUUUGGUCUGUUACUCAUGAAGAAACGGGGGGAAAUGUGAUAAUAACAGCUAGUAUUCGUGUGCUCCGUGAGCCAAGAGCUGUUCUAAAUCCCUACCCUGGAUUAUUGCAUUUAAAAGACCAUCACAUAUCCUGGGAAAACAGCAUAGGCCCUGUGUUAAGUGCUUCACAUUCAUUAUUUCAUUUCAUCCUUGAUUUCCAUUUCUUACCUAUGGUACGCUAGCUUCCUCCAUGGCAUGACUGAUUACGUGCAAGAAUCCACAUAAAGUGCUGAUGACAGUGUCUGGCAUGGCUCACACUCAAGAAACAUUAGCUGUUGGAAUGAUCAUACACCUCUUUUGUAACACUGAAUAGGUUCAGUAUUUUUGGAUCUAGGCUCACAGUGAAGCCUCCAUUUUUCUAGCUUAAAUCAACACCCUAUACUACCAUAGACAGACUGAUAAGGUCGAAAUAGGAACAUGCGACAGGGCAAGAGGUCUGGGCUUCGGGCAUUAGCUGUGCCAUUUGAUACACUGAACACCCAAGCAAGUUCCUCGACUCCUGACAGCUUUGAUUUCCUCAUCUGCACGUGAGGUAUGCGACCCUGAUGAGCUCUAAGAUCUCUUGACCUUUAUAAAUCUUGCCCCACGAAUUUCUUUGUCAGAAUGUGAAUUUUACCACAAGGGCUAUGCUUCUACCAUCUUGGUGCAUGUGCCAUGUUAAAGAGACCCAAACCACUCUAAUGGAACGUGCUUUAGGAAGAUGCUCAGUAAGGAAAGUGAUGCCUUCCACCUGCUGCCCCAGCCCUCUCACUGGCAGGCAAAGCCAUCAGUAACCAGUUGGUUUGGAAAUUGUCAGGGAAGGCGCAGUGUAAAAUGCAUUGUUGGUAGACUUGCUUUUGUUUUCUACAUCAAUUUCUUAUGAAUCUACUGAACGGAGGCGCUGUGUUGUGGCGCUGUGCUGUGCUGGUCCAAGAAUCAAGAGCCUUUGAGUUCAGUUCUAACUCCAGCUCUGCCACUGUCUAGUCUUUGGGAGAAUAAAUGACACUUACCUUCCUUGAGCCUUCGUUGUUUCAAUUGUCAGAAAGGCAUUGUUGAAAACGUCUCCCAAUUCUAAAACUCUGCUACUCAGUUCUUUAUGAGAACAAUACUCAGAUGAAAUCCUAUGGACAGAAAAGCAUGUGGUCUCUCCUUUCUCCUUUCUUUGCCAAGCACAAUGAGAGUUGGUGUGGAAAAAAUAAAAAUCUGCUGUGAAAAGGUUCAUUCAGCCUUUUCUUAAUAGAUCGAGUGGUUGGUAUUUCUGCUGGCUUCUGAAAUACAUGACAAAUCACAAUCUGGAAAAAGUUCCAAAGCAGCUCCAAGCCUUCCUGCUGAAUUUGGAUACAUCUUUAGGUCUUACUCUGCAGCUCAUCCUUAACAACUGACAAAAUAUUUACUUUGCUCGGUACAGAAAAGGCUAACAUUUUCCAAAAUAUUAAACUAGGUUGGAUUCAGAACACAGACAAUGAGGCAAAAAGUUGGACCUCUGUUGGAAGCCAUGUCGUUGAAUCAUUUUCCAGAGUGCCAUGAGAAACAGAGCUGGGGUGGAUGUUUGUGCUCCACAGUGAUUCUGAAAAGGGCAGAAGCCAGCCAGCCCCGGUCUCAAGUAUUCACUGGUGUGUAGACCAGAGGUUCUCAAAGUGUGGUCCCUGGACCAGCAGCGUCAGCAUCUCCUGGAAACUGGUUAAAGAUGCAAACUCUCACAACCCAUCCCAGAUCUACUGAAUCAGAAAGUCCUCAGAUGCGGCCCAGCAGUCUGUGUUGUGAUGAGUGCUCCUGGUAGACAAGCCCAGGUAAAUCUCAUGCUAGGAAGAGUUUGAAAACCACUGGUUGGGCCCAUGAGGGCUACAGUGCUUAUUAGCUUUGAAUUAAAAGUGGGAAGCAAGUAAGUUCUCAUUAGUGAAUUUAAAAUGUUUCCAAUAUA
RNAcentral lists this long non-coding RNA (4914 nucleotides) under Sus scrofa (pig). Its description in RNAcentral is "lncRNA (ENSSSCG00030055855.1)". Lineage: Eukaryota; Metazoa; Chordata; Mammalia; Artiodactyla; Suidae. The record is from RNAcentral.